AGCAGCCGCGGUAAUUCCAGCUCCAAUAGCGUAUAUUAAAGUUGUUGCAGUUAAAAAGCUCGUAGUUGAAUUUCGAGACCGGUUUACUGGUCGUGCUUUUGUACGUACUGGUAUUAUUGGUUUCUCCUUUCUGACGAACUAUAAUGCCAUUAAUUUGGUGUUAUAGGGAAUCAGGACUGUUACUUUGAAAAAAUUAGAGUGUUUAAAGCAGGCUCACGCUUGAAUACAUUAGCAUGGAAUAACGGAAUAGGACGUUUGAUUCUAUUUUGUUGGUUUCUAGGAUCGACGUAAUGAUUAAUAGGGAUAGUUGGGGGCAUUAGUAUUCAAUUGUCAGAGGUGAAAUUCUUGGAUUUAUUGAAGACUAACUACUGCGAAAGCAUUUGCCAAGGAUGUUUUCAUUAAUCAAGAACGAAAGUUAGGGGAUCGAAGACGAUCAGAUACCGUCGUAGUCUUAACCAUAAACUAUGCCGACUAGGGAUCGGAUGAUGUUAAUUUUUAAUGUACUCAUUCGGC
This 513-nucleotide ribosomal RNA is filed under the name uncultured Glomus. Its description in RNAcentral is "SSU rRNA". It matches the Rfam family "Eukaryotic small subunit ribosomal RNA", at positions 569 to 1084 of the family's 1831-position model. Lineage: Eukaryota; Fungi; Glomeromycota; Glomeromycetes; Glomerales; Glomeraceae. The record is from RNAcentral.